This 4306-nucleotide long non-coding RNA is filed under the name Marmota monax (woodchuck). The record is from RNAcentral. Lineage: Eukaryota; Metazoa; Chordata; Mammalia; Rodentia; Sciuridae.
CUGCGUUGGAGGGUGUAGUUGACCCUCUCUGACCACUUGCAGGGCCCUGCCUGGGAUGAGGGACAGUGAGCAGAUGGAUCCACCUCUGUCUCCAAGCGACCGAUGUCACGUCCAUCACUCACCAGAACCGUUCAGCCUCCUGGAAAUGGGCAGGGGCCAGUACCCACUGGAGUCCAGCAGUGACAGCCACGAAGCCCAUGUCCCAGCCUGAAGGCCCGGUGGCUUCUCGUCACACCUCGGGUCGCAGGGCAGCACCACAGCAGGUAGCUUAAAGAGCGGGAGCCCCUGUCCCCGUCGGGGGGGCUGCAGUCCAGGGUCCCAUGUCACAGCAGGCUCCUCCUGAGCCUGUGUCCUCACGUGGUCCUCUGUCUAUACUGAUGGCCUCUUCUGACAAGGACACAAUCACGUGUCCUUGUACCUCAUUCCACCUUGAUCACCCCUUAGGAAACCCACCUCCCGAUGCGGGAAUCUGAGGGUUAGGGCUUCAACAUAUGCAUCUGGGGGGAGGAGGGUCCAUUCAGCCCCUAGUGGCCACUCAACACACAUUCAGGGGCUGCAGAGGAGCGUCGCCCUGUCUCCCCAGUAGGGGACCCACCUGGACUGCCUCCUCGGGGGCCCAGGGUGCCUGCAGGGGGCCCAGGGGUCAUGCCUAUCUCCAGGGGAGUCAGGAUCCUGUCCCGCCAGCAGCUCCCCCCCCUCCCCCCGAGCCCCAGCACAGCCCCAAGAAGGAGACUGUGGAGAGGAAACUGGUGUCCAGGGGGACGGGGUGCCCAAGGGAUCUGACAGGCGGCAGCGUAUUCAGUAAGCCCUGAGGGUCCUCCCAGUGUGGGGCCUUCUGGGCUGGAGGGACGAGUCUUUGCACCCCCAGGUGCCUGCCCAGACCCUCCCCUGGCCUCUUGGAGCACUUCCUCUCCCUUUGGGCAUCAGACCCAGCCCCCUGGGCCAUUGUGGACCUGCCAAUCACCGUAGGCCAUGCCAGCCGGGAAGGAUGUGAUGGACACACAGGAUGGUCUGGGGCCUUGAGCCUGCUCCCCCAUGGAGUCCUCAGGGGCUCUCACGGCUGCCCCUCUCCAGCAAAUGCCUCCAAUUAUUUUUUUCCCUGUCUGGAGUUGGCCAGGGUCAGUUUGUGUUACCGUCCACCAGAACGUUGGCCGACACUCUCUGAUGACCAUGCUGGAAUUUUGGGGUGGGGGUCCAGAGGCACUGGUGAUGUAUCACAGGUUGACUGGGCUGUGAAGUGUGGGCAGUGGAGCCCUCCGGGGCAGUUAGUGCUCUGGGCAGCACAUUGAUGGCCUUCCUCUCCCCGGCUGUGUAGUCUGCCUCCCAGGAGAAAGGCCAGGAAGCGGCCCAGACACCCACUUCCCUCCCAUCUUCCAGAAAGGGCACGGUGGGCAUCAGGGGCACCUCCUGGAUGGGAUAUGGACGGACACACCCACAUCUGUGCCAUCGAUGGAGGAAGGACCCCCGCCUGUCACACCAACAGCGUCAGACGCAGAGCUACCAAAUAGUGAGAUGUGCCACCUUGGCCAGGUGACCUCCAGGCCACUGUCCCAGCCUCAGUUCCUGGGACCUGGAUCUGGACCAUGGGGCAGAGCAGGGUGGGGACUGGUAAGCUGUGGUUUGUUACCUGAGAGGGUCUGAUGAGCCUAGGCAGGCCGUAAAAGGUGAGCGGGAAAGUCAGGUCAACGGAAAUGACCACCCACAGGACAAGAGAGGGCGGGGGGGGGGCAUCGGGGUCUGCCAUUCUGACUUCAAAGUCCAAGAAAUACUUCACGGAGGUGUGCAGCGCAGUGGACCCAGCUGAAGAGGCGAAGAGAGGGGGAAGUCAGUGCGCCCAACUUGGAGCUGGCCGGUCCCCCUUCCAGAAAGAUGUGCGCUAGCCACUUGAAAGCCGGGACUGAGGACGCCUGACCUGUGGGGUGAGUGCGUGUGAGCGCUUGUGCGUGAGCCCUGUGUCGGGUAAUCGUGCUGCGGGCCGUUGGGGAGCAGGGUUUUCAAAUGACAACAGAUAUAAGCCAAGGAGUCAAAGAAAAGCUGGGGAUCUCGCAGUCGAGCCGGAAAUAACCGGCAUGGGUCCCAGAGGCCUUCUGUCUUCACAAAGUGUGCGUCUCCUGCGCCGCACUCUUGGGAGGUCUCUAGGGCCUCAGAGCCACGGAGCGGUGGGCAGGAGCAGAUUCAGUGGGACUGAGCUCCAGGCUGGGGGUGGAGGUGGUGAAGGCUGCCCGGCAGGGACUGUGCCCAGGGCCCCUGGACUUGCUAGGUGCCCUCAAGAUGGGGAAUUUUACAUGAUUUUUCCCACAGUGAAAAAAAAAAAAGGUGGGUAUUCCUGGAUCCCAGCUCCUGGAAAGUUCUAGAAACAGUGGCCAGACCAGGAGUGAUGCGGGAAGCAGGGUCCGUGGGGAAGUGACCGGCUCAGGCUACGGAGGGUGUGUAUGGGCAGGCCUGGAACCGCAGCCUCUCUGAGAGCAAAACUCCAGAGACCUGGGGGCCUUCAGAAGCACACGCCGGGUGACUCCAAAGCCUGCCCCUGGCCACAGACCGGCCACUUGUCCCCAGAGGAUGUGAGCCCAGUGGCAUGCGGUGCAUUGUGGCAGACGCACCCCAUGUGACCUCUGUGAGGGGUGACCCAUGUGACACAGCUGAGUGUGGCCCUCCCAAGUGCCCGCAUUCACGUGCCUGGCUUUUAGGCAAGACUCUAGGGCAAAAGCAAAGCAGUUCUGCAGACGUGAUCGAGGACCCUGGUGGUCACAUUGGACGUUUUCCUGUGGGCCUGACCCAAUGGGAAGCCUCCCGAGGACAGUCCAGGCUUCUCUGACCUUAGAGGUGGACAAGCGGAGGCCCUCCCUGUCCUGCUGACUUUGAAGAAGGGGCUGCCAAGACUCCCUGAGCUGCAUGGAGAUGGGUCCCACUGGCCCCCUGCAGGGCCGAGAGCAGCUGAGCUGCUGACCCUCCCUCCCUGGGCCUGGAUCUCGGCCUCACGAGGCCCUGCCAGCCACACACCGGCAAGGCCAUGAGCAGUGGGCUGUUUCAGACCUUUAGGUGGUGGCAAUUCACAUUUGUGGUGUGGAUUUUAUAUAUCUCUCAUAGGAGAGUGUACCUUUUGUUUUCCCCCCGGUGCUGGGGAUGGAACUCAGGGCUCCACACUGGCCAGGCAAGCACCCUCCCACUGAGCCACAUCCCCAGCCUCAAAAGUGUGUCUUGGUCGAAUUCUUGCAAAUCACCGAUGAAGAAAUGCUGGGUUUGGAGGCCUGCUCUUUGCAACCCCUAGAGGGAUCAUGGCUCUGGUGCGCAGCUGGGGCUUUGCCCGCACUCUGGGAGAAAUCGCAGUGUCUGGAAACAAGCUUGAUUGUCACCGCGGGAUGCUGCUGGCUCCCAGGGGGUAGGGACCAGGAAUGCACAGGACCCACACCACCAUCACGUAGCUGGCAGACAGUCCCCGAGGGACCUUAGUGACCCUGCUUGCUGUUGUCCAUGCUUUUAUCCCGUCCCCUCCCCUCGAGAGCGGGUGCACCUGUGACUUGCUCCUGACUAAUGGAAUAUUGCUUUGGGGGCAGUUGUCACACCCAGGACAAUGUCACAGUAUUUAUGGUGCCACAGUCACUCUCUCCUGCCAUCCUGGAGAAGCAAGCCGCCUGGCCUGGACUGCCCAGGAAAGCCAGCCCCGCAUGCCCCAGGGCUGUAGUCAUGGGAGCACCUGGGUCCCACAUCCACCAGGAGCUGAGCUCCGUCCAACUCACAGCACAGUGAGCCCAGAAGCUCCUGCGCUCCAUCCUCAGAUGAGAACCAGUCCUGGUGGCCGGGGCCGGGACCCUGAAGAGAAGGCCCAGCCCAGGGCCCGAGUGCUGCCCUGCGGGAACCGAGACAGCAGCGUGUGAGCAUUGCUUGAAGCCCGCCACUGGAGGCCCGCAGCGCAGGGCUGGCAAGCCCUGGCCGAGACUCGUCCUUCCUGUGAGGGAAAGGAAGGGUGGUGAGCGUCCUUGGUCUUGCAGGCCUUCUGGUCUGUCACAACGGCCCAGCUCUGCAGUUACUUUGUAACAAAAUCACCAGCUUUGCAGCCACGUCCUGGCCCAGGAAACGGGCUCUGAUGAGCCCCUGGAGCAGGGCAACAUGGAGUCAGACACAGGAAGGAGGCCAAAGUGGAUGGACUGACGGGUGAGUGGGUAGAGGGAUGCAUGGGUGGGAAGGUGAGUGGAUGGGUGGUGGAUACAUGGACAGGUGUAGAAAUGGGUCAAUGAAUGGGUUGGAGGAUGGACACACGGGAUGGAAGUAUGGGUGGGUGGACUUCAGACAGAUACCACAUGACUGG